CGACCACUGUAACCCGCCGCCGUCGUUGAAGCCGCAGCAGAUAAAGAAAAGUUGUUUCAUUUGUAGAUCCUCAGAGCAAGAAAGAUUGACGAUAGAGUUUUGGCGUGAAGCUGAGAUUCUUUCAAAGCUUCACCAUCCAAAUGUGGUGGCCUUUUAUGGUGUGGUGCAGGAUGGACCGGUGUUAAUUUAAAGGUGGUAUUGCGAGAGAACCUGGAUCCGAGGCUCAUGGAAG
Molecule: long non-coding RNA, 232 nt
Organism: Cucumis melo (muskmelon)
Lineage: Eukaryota; Viridiplantae; Streptophyta; Magnoliopsida; Cucurbitales; Cucurbitaceae
Exons: 3
Source: RefSeq, a predicted model, not a curated record